This is a long non-coding RNA of Austrofundulus limnaeus, 899 nucleotides long. RefSeq lists it as uncharacterized. The record is from RefSeq and is a predicted model, not a curated record. NCBI's taxonomy places the organism in Eukaryota, Metazoa, Chordata, Actinopteri, Cyprinodontiformes, Rivulidae. The transcript is spliced from 7 exons.
UAGACAUUUAAACCUAAACAAACCUGAGUUAAAGUGACUGAAAGUUGUCGACUUGAUUAUUGAUUAUUCAUCCUUCAAAACUAACAAGUUGUUCCAAAAAUGCCUUUAAACAAACUCUCARGAACUGAUGCUGAAGACAGAAGUCUGAAUCCGUCAAACCUCCCAGACCAGGAAAACGUGAUUCAGACUGAGAACGUGACUAAAGGCACAAAAAAACAAACUACAGUAUGAGCAGGCCGACUCCUGUGAACAAGCAAGAACACCAGAGAACGAGUUCUGUGAAUCUGCAAGAAGAGCUGAAGKGAAGUCGUCAGGACAAAGUGCUCCAGCAAACCAACCUGAAAUCACAGAAGCCAGCGAGCUCCCUGAUGCUCUUCUGCAGCUGCUGAGACCAGUCACAGCAAAGGAGGUUCUCCUGUCUGAUUCUGAUCCAGAUCAAACCGAGACUCAGCAGCCUGACGCUUCCAGAGGACUUGUUGUGACGACUUAUAUAAGUUUAGUUUUGGAAAGCCUUUUUUACUGUCUGUACCGAGAGGAUGAGGAGCAGCAGGACAUCCAUCUCAACGCCAGCCUCUCACAAAAGACGGAGAGUGCUUUAAUGAAGCAACCGCAGGAAACCAAAGCAGAGUGGACAGAAGAAGAAAAGACKAACAUAGGAGACCCCUCAGAGGCAGCAGGUGGGUCAGCUGGUCKAUCAGAGUACGACUGAGACCCGGCGGAGGAACUCUGCUCAGGAUGCCUCCCAGGAAGGAGGCCGGAGGASCAGAGGUGUGAUUGUUUCACCUCAUGGAUGUUCAUAAAGCAGUGUCUGAACUGAAAAUCACUGCUAUAAGUUAGGAUUUGAAAACACCUUUGAGUAUUUUUUUCUAAGUAUUUCUUCAAUAAAUGACAUAAAUCCA